GUAAUUGCUUUGCUUCCUCUACCUGCCUUUACCAAGAGAUGCCUGGCCAGAAGAGCGAGGAAUUAAAGUACCUGUGGAGGCUGCCCACCGAGUGAAGCUGCAGGCUGCCCAUCCCAUCGCAGUAGCUCCUUAGUUGUCACUUGCACUCUAUCCUGCCACCCUUGUGAAGAAGGUGCCUGCUUCUCCUUUACCUUGCGCCAUGAUUGUAAGUUACCUGUGGCCUCCCCAGCAAUACACAACU
Molecule: long non-coding RNA, 241 nt
Filed under: Homo sapiens (human)
Lineage: Eukaryota; Metazoa; Chordata; Mammalia; Primates; Hominidae
Description: BACH1 antisense RNA 1
Source: RNAcentral